UGUGUACCUUUGCAGGAGCUAACAAUGUUUGCAAAAAUAGCCCAAACUAUCGAUCAAACUGUACACGAACUAAACAUCUUGCAAAACCACAACGAACAACUCUAUUGAGAACAUGAGCAAAACGUCAAUCAGCAAACAUCCUGCAGCGCUUCGGGUCACUGAAUCAUUAAUAAUUCGAUCAUCGAUCCAUUAAUCAAUGCUGACAUCGAGCUGAUUACCAAUUUCUGCCCCAAUUCGUUUCCAUCUUGCCGGCUGGUAAUCGUGAAUAAAAAGAAUCACACAAGAAACGCAAUAGCGCAUAGUCGUCUUUUGGAAACUGGAUGGAAAUUUGAAGACCAAAACUAUGUAAAACUAUUUCUGAAGAAAAAACGAGUGUUAUGAGUAACGAUGUGACCUACGAAGUCAGUGCUCUCAGUAAAUAGCAAGGAUUUUGCCCGUACAGAUGAGAAGAUGAUGAGGUUGUUGAUGAAGUUGAUUACCCGUUCUCCACAAUCGAGGCCCACAUGACGAUACACACUCUACAAGCAAACCCAACAUUCCGGCCGGGCUGGUUAUCGCAAGAAAGAAUUGCCCCUCCUUUGCUCUGAUGAGGUUGGAACCGUUCUCACCAGACUACUGUGCUGGCAAGCACUGCGAGCACUGCGAAGCUUCCAUUUUGACCCCGUGCCAUUAGACGAAAAUGCAAUUUCAGGAUACAAAUGUC
Molecule: long non-coding RNA, 703 nt
Organism: Anopheles gambiae (African malaria mosquito)
Lineage: Eukaryota; Metazoa; Arthropoda; Insecta; Diptera; Culicidae
Exons: 2
Source: RefSeq, a predicted model, not a curated record